RNAcentral lists this ribosomal RNA (434 nucleotides) under uncultured bacterium. RNAcentral describes it as "partial 16S ribosomal RNA". It matches the Rfam family "Bacterial small subunit ribosomal RNA", at positions 29 to 507 of the family's 1533-position model. The record is from RNAcentral.
AGCGAACGCUGGCGGCAGGCCUAACACAUGCAAGUCGAACGAACCUUUCGGGGUUAGUGGCGGACGGGGGAGUAACACGUGGGAACGUGCCUUUAGGUUCGGAAUAACUCAGGGAAACUUGUGCUAAUACCGAAUGUGCCCUUCGGGGGAAAGAUUAAUCGCCUCUAGAGCGGCCCGCGUCUGAUUAGCUAGUUGGUUGUGGGAUUGGCUCACCAAGGCGACGAUCAGUAGCUGGUCUGUGAGGAUGAUCAGCCACAUUGGCACUGAGACACGGCCCAAACUCCGACGGGAGGCAGCAGUGGAGAAUCUUGCGCAAUGAGCGAAAGCCUGACGCAGCCAUGCCGCGUGAAUGAUGAAGGUCUUAGGAUUGUAAAAUUCUUUCACCGGGGACGAUAAUGACGGUACCCGGAGAAGAAGCCCCGGCUAACUUCGUG